UACGUAGGGUGCGAGCGUUGUCCGGAAUUACUGGGCGUAAAGAGCUCGUAGGUGGUUUGUCACGUCGUCUGUGAAAUUCCGGGGCUUAACCUCGGACGUGCAGGCGAUACGGGCAAUACUUGAGUGCUGUAGGGGAGACUGGAAUUCCUGGUGUAGCGGUGAAAUGCGCAGAUAUCAGGAGGAACACCAAUGGCGAAGGCAGGUCUCUGGGCAGUUACUGACGCUGAGGAGCGAAAGCAUGGGUAGCGAACAGGAUUAGA
This 260-nucleotide ribosomal RNA is filed under the name uncultured prokaryote. RNAcentral's name for it is "partial 16S ribosomal RNA". It matches the Rfam family "Bacterial small subunit ribosomal RNA", at positions 524 to 782 of the family's 1533-position model. The record is from RNAcentral.